This 253-nucleotide ribosomal RNA is filed under the name uncultured bacterium. RNAcentral describes it as "partial 16S ribosomal RNA". It matches the Rfam family "Bacterial small subunit ribosomal RNA", at positions 524 to 776 of the family's 1533-position model. The record is from RNAcentral.
UACGUAGGGCGCAAGCGUUGUCCGGAAUUAUUGGGCGUAAAGAGCUCGUAGGUGGCUUGUCACGUCGGGUGUGAAAGCUUGGGGCUUAACUCCAGGUCUGCAUUCGAUACGGGCAGACUAGAGUGCGGUAGGGGAGACUGGAAUUCCUGGUGUAGCGGUGAAAUGCGCAGAUAUCAGGAGGAACACCGGUGGCGAAGGCGGGUCUCUGGGCCGUAACUGACGCUGAGGAGCGAAAGCGUGGGGAGCGAACGGG